Molecule: ribosomal RNA, 460 nt
Filed under: uncultured bacterium
Lineage: Bacteria
Description: partial 16S ribosomal RNA
Rfam family: Bacterial small subunit ribosomal RNA
Source: RNAcentral
CCUACGGGUGGCAGCAGUGAGGAAUAUUGGUCAAUGGACGAGAGUCUGAACCAGCCAAGUAGCGUGAAGGAUGACUGCCCUAUGGGUUGUAAACUUCUUUUAUAUGGGAAUAAAACGUUCCACGUGUGGGAUUUUGUAUGUACCAUAUGAAUAAGGAUCGGCUAACUCCGUGCCAGCAGCCGCGGUAAUACGGAGGAUCCGAGCGUUAUCCGGAUUUAUUGGGUUUAAAGGGAGCGUAGGUGGAUUGUUAAGUCAGUUGUGAAAGUUUGCGGCUCAACCGUAAAAUUGCAGUUGAAACUGGCAGUCUUGAGUACAGUAGAGGUGGGUGGAAUUCGUGGUGUAGCGGUGAAAUGCUUAGAUAUCACGAAGAACUCCGAUUGCGAAGGCAGUUCACUGGACUGCAACUGACACUGAGGCGCGAAAGUGUGGGUAUCAAACAGGAUUAGAUACCCUAGUAGUC